RNAcentral lists this ribosomal RNA (686 nucleotides) under uncultured Mycobacterium sp. RNAcentral's name for it is "bacterial SSU rRNA". It matches the Rfam family "Bacterial small subunit ribosomal RNA", at positions 133 to 833 of the family's 1533-position model. The record is from RNAcentral. Lineage: Bacteria; Bacillati; Actinomycetota; Actinomycetes; Mycobacteriales; Mycobacteriaceae.
GCACUUCGGGAUAAGCUUGGGAAACUGGGUCUAAUACCGGAUAGGACCAUGGCCUGCAUGGGUUGUGGUGGAAAGCUUUUGCGGUGUGGGAUGGGCCCGCGGCCUAUCAGCUUGUUGGUGGGGUGAUGGCCUACCAAGGCGACGACGGGUAGCCGGCCUGAGAGGGUGACCGGCCACACUGGGACUGAGAUACGGCCCAGACUCCUACGGGAGGCAGCAGUGGGGAAUAUUGCACAAUGGGCGCAAGCCUGAUGCAGCGACGCCGCGUGGGGGAUGACGGCCUUCGGGUUGUAAACCUCUUUCAGCUCCGACGAAGCGUAAGUGACGGUAGGAGUAGAAGAAGGACCGGCCAACUACGUGCCAGCAGCCGCGGUAAUACGUAGGGUCCGAGCGUUGUCCGGAAUUACUGGGCGUAAAGAGCUCGUAGGUGGUUUGUCGCGUUGUUCGUGAAAACUCACAGCUCAACUGUGGGCGUGCGGGCGAUACGGGCAGACUAGAGAACUGCAGGGGAGACUGGAAUUCCUGGUGUAGCGGUGGAAUGCGCAGAUAUCAGGAGGAACACCGGUGGCGAAGGCGGGUCUCUGGGCAGUAACUGACGCUGAGGAGCGAAAGCGUGGGGAGCGAACAGGAUUAGAUACCCUGGUAGUCCACGCCGUAAACGGUGGGUACUAGGUGUGGGUUUCCUU